This is a non-coding RNA of Arachis ipaensis, 2068 nucleotides long. The record is from RefSeq and is a predicted model, not a curated record. NCBI's taxonomy places the organism in Eukaryota, Viridiplantae, Streptophyta, Magnoliopsida, Fabales, Fabaceae.
UGAUAGUUUCUGCAACUUCUGCGAAUGCAGUAGGAAUUUUCGCAGCGACACAACACGCGUCUACCUCUAAUGUAGCCACUUCAUUUCAGCAGAUGAGGAAAAAGUUUUCAUUCGGCACAGUAGCACAACCCUUUUUUUUUUUUACUGAAAAUGGGGAAGUUCAUUCAACGGAACCAAAAGGUCCAGCCACGCCAAAUUGAGUACAUGAGCAGGGCCAUCCUCCAUCCACACAAAAUUUGGAUUGGUAGGUACUAAUUGUACUAAUUCAUGAGUAAUUUUGUUUUCACCUCUCUUUACAUGAUUGAAAUUAACUGAUCUAAAAUUACUUACUAGGUCUAGGCAUCAGUAAUGAAAGUUCCAAAACAAGAAUCCAAAUUACCUCCUUUUUUGAGAGCAUUCACUAUUUUUAUAUUGUCACUUUUUAAUAUAAUAUUAGUAAAACAACACUCCAUUGCUAAUUUUAUACCAACAAAGGCUGCAUAAGCCUCUGCCUCUCGUGGUUCAAGUGGGUAUGGUAUGAUCCAUGAAGCUGCUGCCAUUAUUUGGCCCCAAUUGUCUCUAACUACCACUCCCACACCACCAUUAAAAUUUUUGAAGAUUGCAGCGUCAACAUUAACUUUCAAGACAGAGUCUGGUGGGCACUCCCAAUUUUUCAUUGAUGGAUGUUGCUGUUCAUUUCCUCUUGUCCUCGUUUCCUCUCUGAUCUGAGUUUGCCAAAAUUCCACAAAGAGGGAUCUAGCUUUUUCCAAUUCUUCUUCGAUCUGCAGCGUCCUUUCCUCAAACACCAUGGAGUUUCUCGCCUUCCACAAUUGAUUCAGCAUGGUUUGUGUCCCUUCUAACUUCAGUUCUAAGGGUAAACGGGGAGGCAAACCAGAAUCUUUUCGCAAAUUCGCAAUCCUUGAAGAUGUGCUCCUCAGUCUCUUCCUCAUUCCAGCAUCUGGUGCAGAUCGGUGAGCAAUUAAUUUCUCUUCUGUUCAGGCUCUUCUUCGUUGGCAAGGAGUAGUGUAAGAGUCUCCACAUGAAGUUCAGUAUUCUUGGGUGAGCUUUAAUUUUCCAUAGUUGCUUCCAGGUUCCUGUUCUAUUGGUUCCACAUAUUCUCCUUCAUCAGUCAUUGUUUAUACUCCACUUCGUUGGGACACUAAUAUUUAUCACUCUGCUAGUUAUCACUAGUAAGGACUCUUUGCACGAUGUACUACGGAUAGUAACACUACACUCUUCAAACCCUAGGAGAAGAGACUCCCAAGGACAUGAGGAGAGAGGAAUAAUAAGUGAGGUUGAAUUUGGUUUAAGAAAACCAAUUUGGUUGAAUUUGAUUUGUUUAGCACUCCGAUAGUUUCAUUUGCAACAAUGCUAGGGAACCAAGAUAUUUUGGACCAAAAACCUGCCAACUCUUAUUGGGCUGAGAACAUGAAGUAUAGUCCACUUCAGUAACAUCUCAAAUUAACUUAGGUAAACAUAAUUAACCUAAGUGAACUCUCUCAUCUCCUUUCACCGUUUCACCCAAUUAGACCUACAUUACCAUACACGGCUGUGCCACACCACCACCACUCAUCGCAUGGCGUUCUCUUUCGCCGUCGACGGCCGUUGUGCCUCGGACCACAUCGUGUGGGCAACUUCAGUCCUCCAAAGCUAGCUACAGAACGCCGCAAAGCUUCUCUCCCGUUGGCUUGGUCACUGGCGCGUCAGUCGGAAUCACGCCCAUCUCCGCCGCAGCGACGUCGUGCCACCCAGUUGCGAGGAAGAAGGCAGUUUUGCUUGUCGACAAGAGUGCGCCGCUGCUGCUGCAUGUCGGUGUAGGCGGCGCUAUUGAAGCAUCUCUGCCCUACUACCAUAAACGCGACAGAAGGUCCCCUGCCCCAGCCUCAAAACAUCCCUUGCGAGAACUAAUUGUUUCCAUUAAAGGAUUCGGGGCUGUUUCUUGUGAAACCGCAGUAGGAUUGUAUUGCAGAGAAGCCAACCAACAUGGGAAAAAAGAAAUUGUUGGAGUCGUGAUGCUCGCCCAGCUACAUACAUGACAUGAUGAGCACGCUAUCUAAAAACAACUCCGUUGAGAAGCUUGCAGAGAUUG